This 522-nucleotide ribosomal RNA is filed under the name Agathobacter rectalis. RNAcentral's name for it is "bacterial SSU rRNA". It matches the Rfam family "Bacterial small subunit ribosomal RNA", at positions 1 to 519 of the family's 1533-position model. Lineage: Bacteria; Bacillati; Bacillota; Clostridia; Lachnospirales; Lachnospiraceae. The record is from RNAcentral.
UUUAACAUGAGAGUUUGAUCCUGGCUCAGGAUGAACGCUGGCGGCGUGCUUAACACAUGCAAGUCGAACGAAGCACUUUAUUUGAUUUCCUUCGGGACUGAUUAUUUUGUGACUGAGUGGCGGACGGGUGAGUAACGCGUGGGUAACCUGCCUUGUACAGGGGGAUAACAGUUGGAAACGGCUGCUAAUACCGCAUAAGCGCACGGCAUCGCAUGAUGCAGUGUGAAAAACUCCGGUGGUAUAAGAUGGACCCGCGUUGGAUUAGCUAGUUGGUGAGGUAACGGCCCACCAAGGCGACGAUCCAUAGCCGACCUGAGAGGGUGACCGGCCACAUUGGGACUGAGACACGGCCCAAACUCCUACGGGAGGCAGCAGUGGGGAAUAUUGCACAAUGGGCGAAAGCCUGAUGCAGCGACGCCGCGUGAGCGAAGAAGUAUUUCGGUAUGUAAAGCUCUAUCAGCAGGGAAGAUAAUGACGGUACCUGACUAAGAAGCACCGGCUAAAUACGUGCCAGCAGCCGCG